CAACUAUCACAUUUUGACCAGGUGUAACUUCUCGUUAAGGUUAAGUCGGCUCAUUUCUCCAUUCCAUAUUCUAGCACAGCCAUCCUCUUUGUUCCUAAAUGGAUAUUUUUUUUAAAGUGUUAUUUUGUGCUCUGUGCAAUGUUUAGAACAUGCAUUGUUCAUGCAGCAGUAGGCAAUCAUGAUCCAAAAUCUAAUUGGUGUACAAAACUGGACGGCAUAUUGGGAACUCCAAAAAACAGGUCAGCCAAUAGCGACUGCCAUGACCAGUGAUGAACAUGCCAUGUGGCCUUGAGGAGUGUAAAUUUAGUACAUUUUAAUUUGUAUGCCCAAACUAGCUCAGCACACAGAAUGACUGUGUGAUGGGUGAAGUUGACCUAAGUGUCUCUUUAAAUCUGGAUAUUGAUAUAGUAAAGUGUUUUGGACAAUCUCAGGGCUUUCUUCAACUGAAUAGUAAGAAAUGACAGUAUAGAUCAGCUGUAACAUUGCCUUAUCUAAUUAGAAGUCCUUGAAACUGUUACCCAAAUUGUAAUGGAGGAGAAAAAGUAAUUUGGUCACUAUCUGCUUUGCUUUCCUACUUUAAAUAAUAGCUGUAAAUUCCUACACACUAUACCAGUGUGCAUGUAUGUUUGUGAACUAACUUUAUUUUUUUGUUGUUGUUGUAGUCCUUACAAGGAAAUUGCACUCCUGUAAAUGGUCAAUUUUAGGCAUAUUUACAGAUUGCUAAAUGUUUGUGUCAUCUAGCAUUCCAGCAUUUCCCUCUUAUGGGUCAAACUCGAAUGCACUGAUCUUCGCUAUAAGUCAAUGCACUUCGUUAGACUAGGAGGUUAUAGACAUCACCUGGUCUUUCUCAUUCUACCACAGCAUUAAGUCUGCUUUUGCCAUUACAGUAUGGUUGAUCAGUGAGUUCAGUGGACUUAACUGAGGUUUUCUUUUUGGGCACUGUUUGUUUUUGUUUGUUUUGUUUUUUCCCCCAGAGUGACCUGGUCCUUUAUCAACAAAAUGCAAAGUUAUGUCAAGGUCUUGAGAUUUGUUUUGAACUCAUAACCUGUGUGUAUGCAUUGUCAAAUAUGUAAGUCAUUCUGAUUCAUUGCCACAAAGCUCGGUCAGUUAGUUACUAAUGUUUUGGUUAAUUAAAUGGUGAUUUAAGCACAAUGAAAAAAAGUUUACAUUGCCAUUGAAGUGAGUUUGCAACUUGCUUUUUAAUUUUUAUUUUUUUUUUUUUUUUUUUUUUUUUUUUUUUUAUAAAUGGUUUUAAUUUUUGGUUGUAAAUAUCUUUUGUACAGUGUAUAUUUCUUUUUUUUUCUUCUGGUUCUUAUAAGGGCCAUUUUUACAGAAUAAAUGACAAUACAACAUCUAGUCUCAAGUUUGUAUUAUUUUGAAAUCUUUAUGAAUUGAAGUGUUUUUGUAAUUUCAAAGCUGCAUGAUACUGGAACUAUGUACCCAUUGUGGCAGGCAGUCUUUUUGGACCUUCACCAUGCGACAAUAGUUUUGUUACCAGUUCAAUUGGUGGACAAAGGAAUACUGUUUGCAGUCAGCCCCGGUCUAUAUAAUGUGAAUGAAAUUUUCCAAUGAUAACUACCAAGAUUAAAAUGACUAAAUUUAGUAUUUGUGAUGUCAACGUGGUGUCCUCCGAGAGGUGACCUGCUUCAUGUAAAAUAAGACCAUUGGUAUUACAACUAUUAUUUCAUUUGCAACUUAAAUGUAAAAUGCAUUAUCAAAAAUCCUUAUUGUUGCCUACCUCACAAGUUUAUUACUAAUUUCAUGUCUGUAUAUGAUUGAAGAGUUUCUUUUAUGCUUUUGUUGAACAUUUUAUUAAACAUUUGUUUAGACUAAUAAGACUUUUUAGUCUAAUGAGGAAAAAAUACUGAGACUACCUUUACUUUUACAUAGAAAAACUUUUAAUUAUAUGUUUGUGGAGAGGGUUAAAUGUAAAGAAAACGGAUAGAAAGCAACGAUUUAAGUGCGAAAUCAUCCGCUUUCACCGUCCACCUCAGAAUAACCCUCUCUCUCCAGAUUGAAAACUGGUUGUUGUCUCGGUCGUAAUUGGCCGUUUCGGAGGCACAUUGUCCGUUGCUUUUGAGCUCGCAGGUGUACGUAGUAAGCCACUGAAUCCGGAGAGGCUCCCUUGGACCACUUUGUUCUCUUUUCUCGCUUCCCGCUGUGCGGAAAAUUAGCGUUGCCGUCGUUUCUCCCCGUUUUCUCCUCGGGUUUAACCCCCUCAACCCCUAAUGUCAUUCUCAUGAAAAUGUAAGAUCUCGCUGCGGCUAAUCGGAGGACGAAGGGAGGGGAAGAGCGUGUACUUUACAUUUAACUUACCCUGAUAACAGUUCAGGCGUGUUCCCAAGUUAGAUGAAGUAAAUCAUUAUCCAUUAUAAUAAAAAAAAAAAUUAAAGGAAGAAAAUUAAGCCCACGUUGUUUGGCGUAUCGUCAGACGGCUUGUUGUUUGGGGGGUUAAGAGGGCGACUGUGGGUGUCUAGAUGGGUGGGGGUGCUGGAUGCUCUGCUGAGAAACACAGAAUCACUUAGCAACGAGCACUCAGGCUUCAACAAACUGUUACCAUGGUAAAUUGUUGGGUUGCCAGUUUGCAAGCCUAAAGCCAAAAUUCGAUGUCAAGGAACUGACUGAAUGAGCACGAUAUCUGUGGUAUGCUUUAAGCUGAUUGACUUGCUAAGUCGCGUUUUUAUUAUUACCAUUAUCAUUUAAAAAAAGUUUUAAAUCAGUUGACAGCUAUUUCGUCAUAAACCCGGAAACGAGAUUAAUGGUUGCUGUGGAAACUAGGGGGUGCGUAAUAUUUACAUGCAUUCCGAGGAAGCCGCUCCCCUCCUGCACGCACACACGCACAGCCUUCACUCCCCAACAGAAAAAACACCAGCUUGGUUGACAUGAGGAAGACAGAACAACCAACUCUGCUAGACCCACAGGAGACUCAUUGCUACAGUUACAAUGGAGCAGAGAGAAUUAAGCACAUAAGAAACAUGAGGUACGUAGUACAAGUAACUGCAGUGAGGGAUUGUGUGUUUUAAGUAGCAUUGAAAAUGACAGAUACUAUACUAUAUACAAAAAAACAGAGCACUGAUCCAGAUAUUCAGUGCUUUUUAAAACAGCACAAUUAAAUAUCAGCAGCCCUGGGAGAAUUAAAGUCACAUCUGGCUUGACGGGCUUUAUUCGUCAACAUUUAACCACAUUUUUGCUUUUGCAAAAAAGAAAGAAGUCAUCCAACUCUUUGUAGUCAGUUAAAUCAUUCUUUUUAUUAGGAUUUCAGGCUACCUGAUUUCAGACUUCUUGA
Molecule: long non-coding RNA, 3286 nt
Organism: Cyprinus carpio (common carp)
Lineage: Eukaryota; Metazoa; Chordata; Actinopteri; Cypriniformes; Cyprinidae
Exons: 3
Source: RefSeq, a predicted model, not a curated record